RNAcentral lists this transfer RNA (67 nucleotides) under Enterobacter sp. EA-1. Its description in RNAcentral is "tRNA-Val". The record is from RNAcentral. Lineage: Bacteria; Pseudomonadati; Pseudomonadota; Gammaproteobacteria; Enterobacterales; Enterobacteriaceae.
GUGAUUAGCUCAGCUGGGAGAGCACCUCCCUUACAAGGAGGGGGGCCGGUUCGAUCCGUCCACACCA